GCAGUCGUGGGGCAGCGCGGGUAGCAAUACCUGGCGGCGACCGGCAAACGGGUGCGGAACACGUACGCAACCUUCCUUUAAGCGGGGAAUAGCCCAGGGAAACUUGGAUUAAUACCCCAUAAGAUUAUGGUGUGGCAUCACACAGUAAUUAAAGCUCCGGCACUUAAAGAUGGGCGUGCGGCUGAUUAGGUAGUUGGCGGGGUAACGGCCCACCAAGCCUACGAUCAGUAACUGGUGUGAGAGCACGACCAGUCACACGGGCACUGAGACACGGGCCCGACUCCUACGGGAGGCAGCAGUAAGGAAUAUUGGUCAAUGGACGCAAGUCUGAACCAGCCAUGCCGCGUGGAGGAUGAAGGCCCUCUGGGUUGUAAACUUCUUUUAUUUGGGAAGAAACCGGACUUUUCUAAGGCCGUUGACGGUACCAGAUGAAUAAGCACCGGCUAACUCCGUGCCAGCAGCCGCGGUAAUACGGAGGGUGCAAGCGUUAUCCGGAUUCACUGGGUUUAAAGGGUGCGUAGGUGGGCAGGUAAGUCAGUGGUGAAAUCUCUGGGCUUAACCCAGAAACUGCCGUUGAUACUAUCUGUCUUGAAUAUAGUGGAGGUGAGCGGAAUAUGUCAUGUAGCGGUGAAAUGCUUAGAUAUGACAUAGAACACCCAUUGCGAAGGCAGCUCGCUACACUAUCAUUGACACUGAGGCACGAAAGCGUGGGGAUCAAACAGGAUUAGAUACCCUGGUAGUCCACGCCCUAAACGAUGGAUACUCGACAUCAGCGAUACACUGUUGGUGUCUGAGCGAAAGCAUUAAGUAUCCCACCUGGGAAGUACGACCGCAAGG
RNAcentral lists this ribosomal RNA (837 nucleotides) under uncultured bacterium. RNAcentral describes it as "bacterial SSU rRNA". It matches the Rfam family "Bacterial small subunit ribosomal RNA", at positions 57 to 893 of the family's 1533-position model. The record is from RNAcentral.